This 174-nucleotide non-coding RNA is filed under the name Alkalibacter saccharofermentans. RNAcentral describes it as "Lysine sequence". It matches the Rfam family "Lysine riboswitch aptamer". Rfam says of the family: Riboswitches are metabolite binding domains within certain messenger RNAs that serve as precision sensors for their corresponding targets. Allosteric rearrangement of mRNA structure is mediated by ligand binding, and this results in modulation of gene expression. This family includes riboswitches that sense lysine in a number of genes involved in lysine metabolism, including lysC. RNAcentral also lists the same sequence under 1 other name. Lineage: Bacteria; Bacillati; Bacillota; Clostridia; Eubacteriales; Eubacteriaceae. The record is from RNAcentral.
UUUUAAGAUAGAGGUGCAUCUUUUAUAAGUACUCACAGGAACGGUUUCAGGAUCGGAUGAACUGGGAUGAAAGGGUAAGAUGCCGAAGUUUUCGAUUCCCUGAAGUCUCGAAUGCUGGUUGCCUGGUGAAUAACCUUGCAAUUGUCAUCCAAAAGAUGGAGCGCUAUCUGAAAC